Molecule: non-coding RNA, 58 nt
Organism: Salmo salar (Atlantic salmon)
Lineage: Eukaryota; Metazoa; Chordata; Actinopteri; Salmoniformes; Salmonidae
Source: Rfam
UGGCUCAGUUGGUUGAGCAUGGCGCUUGAAACGCCAGGGUUGUGGGAUUGAUUCCCAC